AACUCAUGUUGAGGACAUUUCCGCAGGAACUCCUUGAACCUGUUGCAUGUCUCAAAAAUAGACUACAAUUCCAUUUGCACAAAAGAAGAUAUCUCAUUCCUAAGCUU
Small nucleolar RNA from Dioscorea cayenensis subsp. rotundata (Guinea yam), 107 nucleotides. The record is from RefSeq and is a predicted model, not a curated record. NCBI's taxonomy places the organism in Eukaryota, Viridiplantae, Streptophyta, Magnoliopsida, Dioscoreales, Dioscoreaceae.